Molecule: RNA transcript, 4169 nt
Organism: Camelus dromedarius (Arabian camel)
Lineage: Eukaryota; Metazoa; Chordata; Mammalia; Artiodactyla; Camelidae
Gene: MYBPH
Gene name: myosin binding protein H
Exons: 11
Source: RefSeq, a predicted model, not a curated record
AGUCCCCCAAGGAGGCCCACACCCCCAGAUCCAUCUGCCGUGGACUUAACCCAAGAGGGCUGGUGACCUUCAGAUCUUAAAGGUCAUUGUUGUCCAGACUUCACGACGCAGUCACUUGCUGAAAGAAGCCUUUUGUGUUUCCAGAAGGCCGGCAGGCACGAGGGAGGGAGCCCUUUAAUCCCAGCCCUUCAUCUCCUCUCACCCUGAGCAGGUGUAAGGGCCAACAGGGGCCAGGUGAGAGAGCCCCGCCCUGGACUCUCGGGGCUAGAAGGAGACACCAAUUUCUCACACACCCUCCCUCCAUCCCAGGCCUGGAGUCUCUGCAGGGCCCUGAGAGGUGGCCUUCCAGCCCCCUCCCCCGACACCCCCGGUGACCAGGAGCCCACUGCCUUAAAGGAGCCCUUCCCACUGCUGGGCUGGGGUCUGUCAGAUGUCCUAGGGCUGCGGCCCAGCCCUCCGUCUCCCCCCUCUCCGAACACACUCAGCCCCCCUCAGCCCAUGCAGAGACCCGGGCUCCUUGGCUCAGCCUGGGGCAGGAGGUGGAGGGCAGACGGGAUGAGACGGAUCUCACGGAUGGGCUCAGAAGACCAGCCCGCCUUCCAGCCUUGAUGGAGUGGAGCUGUUCUCACCAGUCCCUGUGAAUUCCCAGAGCCCCGGACAUGCCGUGUGUCCAAAGCGAGUCCAGUCAUGUACAUCCCAGGCCCUCCGCCAGAAGACAAGCACUGUCCCGACUUUCCCGCCUUCUUCUGUGGUCGCGCCACCUGGAGAUGCCCCUGGAAGAAGAGAGCUGGUGUUGCCCGCGUUUGAAUUGAACACGAAUGAGAGACCCCACCGCCUCCUUUCGCUCAGCGUUGCCUAUUGGAUCAUCUGUGCCGCUGAAGCUUGUCCCUUUUAUUCCAUUUUUGGUUUAUAGGUGGGGAAACUGAGGCCCGGAGCAGGGACUGCGGAAGCUGGGUAAACAGGGGUCUUCGAUGUCCUCCCUGGAGUCCCAUUGCUGGAAGACCUUCUCCAACCAACCCCAUCUUGGGCAGCCCAAUUCACUCUCUCCCUAGGGCCCUCAACCUCAUACAGCAUAAGUGAGAAUCCCCAGGGAAUGUGAGGACCAGGGGAUGGUGGGACCUCAGGGACGGAGCUGGGAGUGCUCCCCAGGGAAGGCCGUUUCAGGCUGUCUGGACCCCAGCACCCAAGCUGAAAAGCCCUGGGCCUCACAAAGACCAAACACGCAGCCUGGUCUGGGCUUACUCUCCAGAUGGAAGCUCUGAGCCCUGGCACAGGCUCCCGGCAAUGUCCCGUCUCGCCCGUCUGUCCCUCCUCCCAUCUGGGCACCAGAACACUGGCUGCUGAGAUGCAGUCAGGGUGAUGGACGAGGUUGCAUGCUCCUCAAGGGACCCUUGCAGUUCCUCCCCUAGAGCUAUUCCUGGCUUCGGAGGCGCCUCCCUGCCCCCCCCCCCAGUCCCCCUGCCUGACCUGACCGCACAGCUGGGAAUCAUUUGCUUGGGAGGGUGGGGCAGUCCCCUGACUAUAUAAGCCAGGACCUAGGUGUCCCGGCGCCCUGGCAGCACAGACCCUCCACGGCUAAUCCCUGCACUCUCCAGCCUGACCCCCCAGCCCAGAAUGACAGGAAAAGCCACCUCGGAGGCCCCCGCCCGUGGUCCGGGGGAGACCGCCUCUGAGUCUGCAGAUGUGGGCCCCCCAGAGCCCUCUGGAAAGGUGGCAGCACCGGAGUCUACUGGGGGAGACCAGGCUCCCAAGCCACAGGAGCCUGCCCCUCAGGCACCUGCCCCCGCAGCCACUAAACCUGCCCCUCCGAGUGAAGGUGACAAGAGGCAGGGCAGAUGUCCCCAGUGCCCCGCUGCUGCUGGCCGUGGAGGAUGUGAGCGAGAGCUCGGUGGCUGUGAGCUGGGAGCCCCCCGAGAGGCUAGGGAAGCUGGGGUUCCAGGGCUACGUGCUGGAGCUCCGCCGAGAGGGAGCCAAUUCAGCCUGGACUCUGCCUUUGCCUCUACCUUGCUGUGUGACUUGGCAAAUGUGUCCAGCCCUCUCUGGGCUUCAGCAACCCCAUCUUUGGCCACCGCUCAGGGGCUCAAACAUCAGAUGUCUUUGAUGCCAUUUGACAAUGAGAAGUCAGGAAGGAAGAGCAUGGGGGAAAUAAAACCCGGAAAAGGAGCCUCGGAGUGGGUGCCUGUGAAUGCCCGGCCCAUGAUGGUGACCCAGCAGACUGUGCGGAACCUGGCUCUGGGUGACAAGUUCUUCGUGCGUGUGGCUGCGGUGAACUCUGCAGGGUCUGGCCCACCAGCUGUGCUGGACCAGCCUGUCCACAUCCAAGAGACCAUCGAGGCUCCCAAGAUCCGUGUCCCCCGCCACCUUCGUCAGACCUACAUCCGUCAGGUGGGAGAGACGAUUAACCUGCAAAUCCCCUUCCAGGGGAAUCCUAAGCCUCAGGCCUCGUGGACCCACAACGGCCAUGCCCUGGACAGCCAGCGGGUAAAUGUGCGCACCGGGGACCAGGACUCCAUCCUUUUCAUCCGCUCAGCCCAGCGCUCCGACUCGGGCUGCUACGAGCUCACUGCGCAGCUGGAAGGCCUGGAGGCCAAGGCAGCCAUCAACGUCCUGGUGAUUGAGAAACCGGGAUGCCCCGGCACCAUCAGGCUCCUGGACGUCUGGGGCUGCAACGCUGCCCUUGAGUGGACACCACCCCAGGACACAGGCGGCACAGAGCUCCUGGGCUACACAGUGCAGAAGGCAGACAAAAAGACAGGGCAAUGGUUCACAGUGCUGGAGCGCUACCACCCGACCACCUGCACCGUCUCCGACCUCAUCGUGGGCAACUCCUACUCCUUCCGGGUCUUCUCGGAAAACCUGUGUGGACUCAGUGAGUCGGCCGCCGUCACCAAGGAGCUGGCCCACAUCCAGAAGACAGGUGAGUCCGGGGCCAGGACCGGAAACCAAGCCAGGCCUGGCCAAGCUGGCCCUUCUCCCUGUCCCUGCCUUGUCCUUGGGGCAUCAGCAUCCCUGCUUUUAGGCUUCUCGUGGGUGGCCCCUUGAUGGAACCUUUGCUGCCCCUCCACACCCAACUUCACAGCCACACACACAUGGUCAUGUGGAGUGACUGCAAAGAGAUGGAUGUGGUUGACUGAUUGCAACGAACACACCGGCGCACACCUGUGCAAGUGAGAAGCACCCUAGGGAGGCUGCGCACUUAUUCUAAAGCUGUCGGGUAGCUGCCAACAUCCCAGUGGUCACUGACUCGCAUGUGCAGUGUCCCACGGGAGCUACUCUGAAGGGCGACGUGCGUGGAGAGGUAGACUGGCGAGUUUGCUGAAAGCACAAACCUCCGGACCCUAAAAUAACACCACACAGAUGGACAAGAGAGAUAUGGGUAUUUACUGUCUCCACGCAGGCACAUGACCCUCUUGCGUCAAAUGUGAAAUUCCAGGCCCUUUCUCCCUGUCACCCUGCGGUCUCCAAGGCCCUCCCCCACGCAGUCUGUGUGGGCUCCAGAAGGCACAUUCUUUCUGAUGCUAGCCUGAGCUGCACAGAAUUAGGAAGAAAUUUUUGUUUAACAGAGGAAAGCCAGCCAGGUCUCCAAAGACAAACAGAAAUGACAUGUGGUACCUCCGGCUGCUUGGCCAUCUCAUCUAUUGGUUUUCCUGCCCACUCCUCUCUUUGAUCCCCUCCGUGACUCACCCAGCCAUGGUCUCGGCUUUCCUCUGCCUCUCUGAGACAUUCUGCCUGUAAGUUCCCAUGGGAUGGUUGUGCCUGACUUCCCAAAGACCCCAGGAGCCCCGGGUCCUGCCCUGGGGCUCCAGAUGAGGGGGUGUGGAUGAAAUGGAGUGUCACCCACCCUCCUGAUGCUAAGAUCUUCCUCCGGACCACCCGCUCUGUGUCAUCAUGUGACCUUCCACACCUUACGCCCCACACUCACCAAGUGGAAUUAACUCACCCGUGAAGGGCCUCACUUUCCCAUCUGUCAGCCGGGAAGAGAAGCCUACCCUGGCAGAGGAAAGCUGUGUAGCUUAAAUGAGACAGCCAAGUAUACUGUGGCCAAGCCGAAAAGCUUUGUUGAGCGAGACUUCUCCGAAGCCCCCUCAUUCACCCAGCCCCUCGCUGACCACACCUCCACCCCUGGCUACAGCACUCAGCUCUUCUGCAGCGUCCGAGCAUCGCCCAAG